UGCCGUUCCCGUUCCAAAGCCUCUCGCUCCUCUCUUUCUUCCCGCUCCCGCUGCUUCUGGGCCACCAGCUCCAACAUCCUGUGUUGCAGAAAAGAAAGAGCUCAAAAGAAAUGGACAUAGAUCGAGAAGACUUUUUAUGUAUUCGUUUUGAGAGAGACAGUGGGAAAACAGCAGGGGAGAAGAGCAGAGGGAGAGGGAGAGGCAGGUUUCCCGCUGAGCAGGAAACCCGAGGUGGGGCUCAAGCCCAGGACCCUGAGAUCAUGACCUGAGCCGAAGGUGGACGCUUAACUGACUGAACCACCCAGGUGUCCCAUACUGCAUCUUUCAUCUACUUUCAGUUGGUAUGUUUCUGAGGAUUCCAGAUCUUUGGGGCCCUAAAGAACCCCAUUUUGGCUCCACUCUUAGACUUUCCCCCAAAGCUGGACACGCUCAUCAGAUAUAUCGGGUGUCUGUCUGGCUUGGUAAACUGACACCUCUUCCCUAUCCU
Long non-coding RNA from Mirounga angustirostris (Northern elephant seal), 487 nucleotides. RefSeq lists it as uncharacterized. The transcript has 3 exons. Lineage: Eukaryota; Metazoa; Chordata; Mammalia; Carnivora; Phocidae. The record is from RefSeq and is a predicted model, not a curated record.